UGCAGGCUGUGUCACUGGGAGCACCCAGGGCCAGAUGGGUGCAGACCGGGGCGGUGACAAUGCCCGAGGGACCCACACGGCUCACACCCACACGUUAACUCCUGGUUCUUCGGAGCUUUUACUCCAGCAAGUUUUGUACCAAGCCCAGCGCUUUUCACGCAUUACCAAAUUCGCUCUUCCCUGGAAGUUUCGAUCAGCCAACAACCAAUUACUGAGCAUCUACCAUGUGCUAGGCGCUGCGGAUGCAGAAUAUGUGCCACAGCCCCGCCUGCAGAGGACUCACGGUCCAGUGCUCACAGGCGAGCCAAGAAUGGCUAUAGCGCGGCGUGAUGAGACCCCAGCAGCUCCAGGCACCCGGCCGCCUUUGAAGAAACAUCUGGCAAAUGCGUGAAAGCCACGCUCGUGACAGGGAGAAGAUAAAGUUGCUGGAGAAGGCACGUUCCAGUUCUCCUCGGGCGUUCUUCACAGAGGACGUCACACACUGAGCCGGGCCUUGAAGAUGAAGUGCUCCUCUCCGUGGGGAAGGGAGGCGGGCGUGCCACGGAGUGUUGGCCCCACGCCCAUCCCUCGGCACUGGUGUUUCCGUGCACGCCAGCCCCACCCAACGGCCGGCUCCAGGAGCCCUGUGUCUGAGGGUUUGUCCCACCUGGGCUUGCUCUGCCCUCUCCAGGGGCAGACAGGAAGGGGCUGGGGGCGCUCCCUCCCAGGAAGCCGGGAACUGCCAACACACAGGAGCUGGGCAUCAAUACCCCGGCUCUUUCCCGUCUCUGGCGGAGAACUCGGAGAUGCGUCUGGGAUCUGCCACGGCCUCCAGUGGGCUGAGGCCCGGCCACCCGCGGCGGGAGCUGCCACUGAGGAUGCGUCCUCUAUGGCUGCCUUCCUCCCUCGCUCCUUCCUCCGGCUCCCCAGCCAGGGCAUCCUGCCCGCACCAAGUAGACUUCUCAUCUUGGGGUCAGCUGCCAGGGGAAGCUGGACCACGACAGCAGGACAGUCAAAGUUUUCUUUGAAAGAAGAGCAGAGAGGAGUGUGGGUCGCUGACAAGCUGCAUUCCUGAAAUGCGGGAAGUGACCCAAUCAAUGAGGAGGCUGGGAAUCUGGCCGUGGCCACCCCUUCUGGCCUGCUUUGGACCAGCCCAGCGGAGAAUGUUAUCAUCCUCAUCUUGCAGACAAAGCCUCCGAUGCCCAGAGGAGGGGAGCUCACUCGGAAACACAGAGCCGGUGAGCUGUGGAUCGCAGACUGGCGUAUGUCCAUGCUAAUCUGGCUGGCCCCCUGUGAGCAGCUGUGAUUGUCGCCACUGACACGCCCAGAAGGAGCUGACGGAGGAAUUGCAGAGCGAGGAAUGAGCCAGAGCAUCCAGGAAGUGCCGAUCCCCUGCGGGAUGAGCUUGGAGCUGGGAUGAGGGACACACAGGCAGGAGCUGGAGCAACUGGAACAGGCAGGUGGGUCGGCUUAUCGGGAACGCAGGAUUGUCGUGGGAGGCGGAGAGGAGGUGAGUUUAAGGACCUGAGGGGCGGCCAGUGGUACAGCCGUCCCCUGUAAGCACAGGGGGCCACUGUGUUGGGUGAGCCAGGCCACGUCCCAGGUGCUGUCGGGGGGACGGAGGCAAGCCCCAUGAUGACACGCGGAGGGAACCGCAGGCCGGGCGGGGCCUCUCCUCACUUCCAAGCUUAAAUGUUGCAGGAGGAGCUAAGAUGCUCCUUGGUCCCGAGGGUUUCAAGUCCCAGGAGGAGCUGCUGUCUGUCUCCCCGCAGCGCACGGACUCGCCUCCUGGGUGUCUGUCAGCAGAGUUUCCAAUUUCAGGGUAAACUCAACUAACCAAACCAGCGAAAGGAAAAACACAAUCUCUUGCUACUCCUUCCUGCUCUGCUCCUUCCAGAAGCCCUGGCAUUCUUUUUUGACGGAUCUGCAGGAGGUCUCCAGCUGGCCGAGGGGGGCCUGGACGCUUGUCAAUGCAUCUUAGCAAUUGGAAUGUGCCCUCUGACCUGCCCUCGCCUCCCCGAGCCGUGGCAGGCGGGGCUCCCUGGGAGCCGGAGGGCCCUGGUGACUUAGAAGGUCAGGGGCUGCGCUUUCUAGAACGUGCCAAAGGCUUGGAAGGAGCCUCUGAGCUGAGAGGAAGGACAGGGAGGGAGCUGUCUGAAAGCAAAGGAUGGAAAACUCUGAGCACCAAGAUCUCGGCCGCUUCUCCCCUUCAACUGGAUGAGCACUUUCUGCGACAGCAAAGGGGGCAUCCCAGCCUCCUUCACCCCCCGGCCAGGCCCACCGGCCCUGGGCCACCCCCGCCUGCUGAGGCUGGAGGGCUCCACAGCCAGGCGGGGAGGGCGCGAGUCUCGAGGCCGCCAUUCCUGUGUGUGGCCUCAGCGAAGGGGUCCCCUCACGUGGGCACCCCGUCCUCCUGGGUCUCUCCUCCCAGUCAGGGCUCGGCUCACCGUUUCUGCCAAGGGCCAGAGAGGAAAUAUUUUAGGUGUCGCCACCUCGGUGAUGCUCAGCUCUGCACGACAGGCGUCCCAGGCCAUCUGUAAUGGAAAGAGUGUGGCCGUGUUCCGAGGAAACUUUAUUUUCAGAAACAGGGCACAGGCUGGAUUGGUCCGCCCGCCCUUGGUGCAGAGUCUUGGGAGAGGGUCCUUGGGGUGGCUGCGUUAUGAGUCCAAGAUGGAGAGCAUAGUUGUGUGAAGAUGGCGGGAAGUCGAAGUGAAUGGCCAAACGCUGGGCUUUGGGCAGGCCUGGGUUUCCAGUCCGAUCUCUGAAGCUUGGCUGCUGUGUGACCCUGGGCCACUUACUUCCCCUCUCUGAGCCCCAGUUCCCUUCUCUGUAAAAUACAAGCAAUAAUAAUACCUACUCUCCAAGGUCUGUUGGGAUGAUGACUUAGCAAGGCCUGGUGCUCGGGGAGCCCUCGGCAAACACGUCAUCGUUUACGUCUGUCGUAG
Long non-coding RNA from Equus caballus (horse), 2924 nucleotides. The record is from Ensembl. Lineage: Eukaryota; Metazoa; Chordata; Mammalia; Perissodactyla; Equidae.